Phasianus colchicus (ring-necked pheasant) is the source of this 2345-nucleotide long non-coding RNA. The record is from Ensembl. Lineage: Eukaryota; Metazoa; Chordata; Aves; Galliformes; Phasianidae.
GGGGUCCUUUGGGGAAGUUUGGGGCCAUGGGGAUCCCAUGGGGUCUUAUAGGGUCCUGGGGUUCCUAUGGGGUCACAGGGGGUUCCUAUAGGCUGCUUUUAGGGUCCCAUGGGGUCACGGGGGUCCUUUGGGAUCAUGGUGGUCCUAUGGGAUCCUAUGGGGUCAUGGGGGUCCUAUGGGUUUUAGGGUUCCCUUGGGGUCCUGGGGGUCCCACGGGGUUUCUUUGGGGUCCCACGGGGUCACAGGGGUCUUAUAGGGUCCUGGGGUUCCUAUGGGGUCGAGGGGUUCCUAUAGGCUCCUUUUGGGGUUCUUUUGGGGUCACAGGGGUCCUUUGGGGUCAUGGGGAUCCCUUGGGGUGUUCUAUGGGGUCCCACGGGGUCACAGGGGUCUUAUAGGGUCCUGGGGUUCCUAUGGGGUCACAGGGUGUUCCUAUAGGCUCCCUUUGGGGUCCCAGGGGUUCACGGGGUCCUUUGGGAUCACGGGGGUCCUAUGGGAUCCUACGGGGUCAUGGGUAUCCUAUGGGGUCACAGGAGGUUCCCUUGGGGUCAUGGGGGUCCCUUUGGGGUCCCUUGGGGUCAUGGGGGUCCCUUUGGGGUCCCUUGGGGUCAUGGGGGUCCCUGGGAGUCCUACUGGGUCCUAUGGGAUCCUAUGGGGUCCUGGGGUUCCUAUGGGGUUUUGGGGUUCCCUUGGGGUCGUGGGGGUCCCUGGGGGAAGUUUGGGGUCAUGGGGGUCCCAUGGGGUCUUAUAGGGUCCUGGGGUUCCUAUGGGGUUUUAGGGUUCCCUUGGGGCCAUGGGGGUCCCACAGGGUUUCUUCGGGGUCCCACAGGUUCACAGGGGUCUUUUGGGGUCCUGGUGUUUUUAUGGGGUCACAGGGGUUCUUAUAGGCUUCUUUUGGGGUUCUUUUGGGGUCAUGGGGGUCCUUUGGGAUCAUGGGAGUCCUAUGGGAUCCUAUGGGAUCUUGGUGGUCCUAUGGGAUCCUAUGGGGUCCUGGGGGUCCCACGGGGUUUCUUUGGUGUCCCACAGCUUCCCAGGGGUCUUUUAGGGUCCUGGUGUUUUUAUGGGGUCACGGGGGUUUCUUAUAGGUCCUUUUUAGGGUCGGUCCCCGCUCACCCUCUCUCCGACCUCGUAGCUGACGACGCUGAGCAGCGCCAGCAGCGCCCCGGUGGCCUUCGGGGACGGCAAAGUGGCCAAAAAGGCACUCCACGAGCCCCAUGGCCACCCAAGAACCCCGUGGCCACCCCAUAUACCCCUUGGCCACCCCAAAAGCCCGACGGCCACCCCAUGAACCUCACGGCCACCCCAUGAACCCCACAGCCUCCCCAAAGGCCCCAUGGCCACCCCAUGACCCCAUGGCCACCCCAUGAACCCCACGGCCACUCCAAGAGCCCCAUGGCCACCCGAGGAGCCCCACGGCCACCCCAAGAUCCCCAUGGCCACUCUAGAAGACCCACGGCCACCCCAAGAGCCCCGUGGCCACCAACGAUCCCCACCUGGCCACUGUUGACGGCUGCGUGCUGCGCGGAGCAGCGGAAGAUGAUCAUGGUGAGGAAUUUGGUGAGGUCGGGGCGGGUGCAGAGCUUGGAGGGGAAACCUGGGGGUGGGGACACAGGAAGUGUCACCGCCGGUAGCCACGAUGGGCUACUGGGUGACCGUGGUCGUGGUCACGGCCGGAAGAGGGAGCGAAACCAUCGGUGUGGUGGUGAUUGGAACCACAGCCGUCAUUGUGACCGGCGCCGCCAUUUUCACCUGAAUCACCAGGAUCGUAACCAGCACCAAACCAUCAGCAUCGUCAUCGUCGUCGUUAUCCUGAGCUUAAUUGUCACCAUCAUCAUCAUCAUCAUCAUCAUCACCGUCAUAAUCCUGCCCUUAACCAUCACCACCAUCAUCAUCAUCGUUAUCCUGAUCUUAAUCACAAUCAUCAUCAUCAUCAUCAUCAUCAUCACCAUCAUCAUCAUCACCGUCAUAAUCCUGCCCUUAAUCAUCACCAUCAUCAUCAUCAUCAUCAUCAUCGUCAUCAUCAUCACCAUCAUCAUCAUCAUCACCUUGAACUUAACCACAGCCAAACCAUCACCAUCAUCAUCAUCGUUAUCCUGAUCUUAACCAUCACCAUCAUCAUCAUCACCAUCAUCGUUAUCCUGAGCUUAAUCAUGGCCAUCAUCAUCACCAUCAUCAUCAUCAUCAUCAUCAUCAUCAUCAUCACCACCUUGAACUUAACCAUGGCCAAACCAUCACCAUCAUCUUCAUCAUCGUUAUCCUGAGCUUAACCAUCACCAUCAUCAUCAUCACCAUCAUCGUUAUCCUGAGCUUAAUCAUGGCCAUCACCAUCAUCAUCAUCAUCAUCUUCG